RNAcentral lists this microRNA precursor (77 nucleotides) under Erinaceus europaeus (western European hedgehog). RNAcentral describes it as "miRNA (ENSEEUG00000022232.1)". Lineage: Eukaryota; Metazoa; Chordata; Mammalia; Eulipotyphla; Erinaceidae. The record is from RNAcentral.
GGGGCCGCCGCGCUCCCUGUCCUCCAGGAGCUCACUGCCCGCGCCGUGCGCUCCUCCAGGCCAGAGCCCGCGUCCGC